This 329-nucleotide unclassified non-coding RNA is filed under the name soil metagenome. RNAcentral's name for it is "partial contains 5.8S ribosomal RNA, internal transcribed spacer 2, and large subunit ribosomal RNA". The stretch from base 1 to 120 matches the Rfam family "5.8S ribosomal RNA", at positions 35 to 154 of the family's 154-position model. The record is from RNAcentral.
GAUGAAGAACGUAGCGAAAUGCGAUAAGUAAUGUGAAUUGCAGAAUUCAGUGAAUCAUCGAAUCUUUGAACGCACAUUGCGCCCCUUGGUAUUCCGAGGGGCAUGCCUGUUCGAGCGUCAUUAUAACCCCUCAAGCUCAGCUUGGUGUUGGGGCCUGCUGCACUGGCAGCCCUUAAAAUCAGUGGCGGCGCCAUCUGGCUCUAAGCGUAGUAAUUCUUCUCGCUAUGGAGUCCUGGUGGAUGCUUGCCAUCAACCCCCAAUUUUUCUAUGGUUGACCUCGGAUCAGGUAGGGAUACCCGCUGAACUUAAGCAUAUCAAUAAGCCGAGGA